RNAcentral lists this ribosomal RNA (336 nucleotides) under Triticum aestivum (bread wheat). Its description in RNAcentral is "partial small subunit ribosomal RNA". The record is from RNAcentral. Lineage: Eukaryota; Viridiplantae; Streptophyta; Magnoliopsida; Poales; Poaceae.
AUGGUUAUUGCAUCUUCAGUUUCCUUGGCCAACUCCUCGACCCCUCCCCCGCGUCGCCUCCAGGGGCGACACGAGCGGAACCCUAGAUCCAGCCGCCGCCGGACCUUCCCCGUCUCCUACCUCCCCUCGCCGUCGCCGGAGAAGGUCGCCGGGGUAAGUCCAUGUGGCAGACGACUGCGGCGGGGUGUUUCGCUGCGCAGCGGCGUGGUAAUUAGUGGCGGGAGGCUCUCGUUUUCCCCGGCUCAGUGGUGCAACCGCGGCGGCUUCCCGCGUGCGGCGACGGCGGCUUCCUGCGCGGAUCUCGCGCUCAAGCUUCCGGCAGGCCAAGGCGGGUGA